RNAcentral lists this long non-coding RNA (1099 nucleotides) under Cricetulus griseus (Chinese hamster). RNAcentral's name for it is "lncRNA (ENSCGRG00015033114.1)". Lineage: Eukaryota; Metazoa; Chordata; Mammalia; Rodentia; Cricetidae. The record is from RNAcentral.
AAAUAUAUUAUACAGACAAAACAAAACAGCCAAUUUGAUGUGCUGGAUUUAUUAUUUUAAAAUUGUAUAAAGAGCACAUGUGCAUGAGUUUAAAACACAAGUGAAAUGUAAAGAGUUAAAAAAGAAAUACAAAAGAAAUUUGAGGCAUGAAACAAAAAAAUACAUUCUGUGAAUUGAAAUAAAAGGUAUCCCACUUACUACAAAAAUUGUUAUUUCAAUAUAUUAAGCAGUCUUUUGAUUCGGAUGCAGCACAAGACUGAGUUAUUCGUUAUCAGGCAGGGUGGAUGUGAGUGGAGGUGGAGCAAUGUCCAUGAGGUAUCACCAUAAAUAAAUCCAUUAGCUCGUCAGUGACCAGCGAUGAGCAGAUCCACCAUUUCACUGUCAAGGAAACCCCAUCUCCACCAGUUUUCCUUGGAUUACUUGCAGUGAGGGUUCUUCACACUUAGAAAAAGAGUGGAGACAAACACUGAGUAGUGGUUGGACCCCAGUGCUAUGCUGCCUACCAGUUUCCCAAGUCAGUACUGAAGGUGACAGAGACACAGAAAGGCCAACAACAUGACAGUGGACAGAUUUAUUUUAGAGGGUCUCACGAAAUGACUAUGUCAUGUUGACAGCUUUGCCUCUUGUGUAUCCAGCUGCUGUGGCAUGCUUCGAGCUGACACAGACAGGGACACUGUGCUCAUCUGCUGUUGCCUGAGCCAGCAACCUAUUUGUCUGCCCUUGCUUCCAGAACCAGUGUCUGACUGCUUCUAUCCUGGUGGCUAUGGCCAGAAUUGCUGCUGCCCUUCCCUUGCUGACCACUGCCCUUGCUUGGAGGAUGCUGAAAUGACUUCCUUGUCAUUUGAAGAUGCUCACAAUGCCUAUGCUGGAGCCCACAGCUCUCCUAUCAGAAGCACUAAGACCCUGAGAAGCAUCCCUGUAGGAACUGCACAAGUUUCUGGGGUACAACUAGCCAGACCCGAGCUCAGGUCCCUACUUCAUGCUGUACCUCUUCACACAAGCUCCUCACCCACCUUCUCCAUCCAAAAGUGUGACAUGGAGGUAAUAGCAAUCCCAUACCUCACAGGAUCACGGUCCUCAAAACAUGAUUAGGUGGUUG